UACGAAGGGGGCUAGCGUUGCUCGGGAAUCACUGGGCGUAAAGGGCGCGUAGGCGGCCGAUUAAGUCGGGGGUGAAAAGCCUGUGGCUCAACCACAGAAUUGCCUUCGAUACUGGUUGGCUUGAGACCGGAAGAGGACAGCGGAACUGCGAGUGUAGAGGUGAAAUUCGUAGAUAUUCGCAAGAACACCAGUGGCGAAGGCGGCUGUCUGGUCCGGUUCGUGACGCUGAGGCGCGAAAGCGUGGGGAGCAAACAGG
RNAcentral lists this ribosomal RNA (256 nucleotides) under uncultured bacterium. RNAcentral's name for it is "partial 16S ribosomal RNA". It matches the Rfam family "Bacterial small subunit ribosomal RNA", at positions 524 to 776 of the family's 1533-position model. The record is from RNAcentral.